Molecule: unclassified non-coding RNA, 279 nt
Filed under: Hevea brasiliensis (rubber tree)
Lineage: Eukaryota; Viridiplantae; Streptophyta; Magnoliopsida; Malpighiales; Euphorbiaceae
Source: RNAcentral
UGUCCAUAUGGUAGGAAUCUGGGGCAUGGGUGGCAUAGGAAAAACAACAAUUGCCAAGUUUAUUUAUGACAGGAUUUGUAGCCAAUUUCAAGCUCAUUGCUUUCUUGCAAAUGUUAAAGAGGAUUUCAGAAACCUUGGCGCUGCAGCUUUACGAGAGAAACUUCUUUGCAAAGGCUUAUUGCUAGAAAGAAAACUUCUGAAUAGAUGGACCUUUAAUGCUGGUUUUAAUAUGAUCAAGAAAAGGCUCUGUCACAAAAAGGUUCUUGUUGUUCUUGAUGA